RNAcentral lists this ribosomal RNA (322 nucleotides) under uncultured eukaryote. Its description in RNAcentral is "partial 18S ribosomal RNA". It matches the Rfam family "Eukaryotic small subunit ribosomal RNA", at positions 1470 to 1796 of the family's 1831-position model. The record is from RNAcentral.
CCCUUAGAUGUUCUGGGCCGCACGCGUGCUACACUGAGUGGAUCAGCGGGUCAGGUUGCGCGAAAGCGUUUCCUAAUCUUUAAAUCCGCUCGUGAUGGGGAUUGACGGUUGCAAUUUUCUGUCAUGAACGAGGAAUACCUUGUAAGCGCGGGUCAUCAUCCCGCGCUGAAUACGUCCCUGCCCUUUGUAAACACCGCCCGUCGCUCCUACCGAUUGAGUGGUCCGGUGAGGCUUUGGGAUCUGAGCGGAAAGAGCGUUUCGCUGUUUCUGCUCGGAAAACUCAGUCGAACCUUAUCAUUUAGAGGAAGGAGAAGUCGUAACA